UGUGAAAUUUUGCUCUGUGGGACAUAAAAUUCUACCAAACAAAUGGUACCUGGUACCUCAUCACAGCUUGUACGAUCAACUGAAAAGUUAUUGAGGCUGAAGAUAUAAAGAAACAGAUAAACAGAGGAGUUUUAAUUAUAGAGGACCAAAUAAAUUCACAGAAUUACCUGAAAAAAGGCAAAACACCCAUUGCAAGAUUUCUACUGGAACCAGUAACACCCUUCUCAGAAGGUGGCAUCCAAAAUGGAAAUAAAUUCUCAUUUUCUGAGAGCAUUUGAUCUACUUACUUCAGAUCAUGCCGACUGACUACAGUAUAAGAAUGGUCAUCCAAUGUGGGGGUGCACAUAAAAGAUUCUGCAAAACUGAGCCUACUGACUGCUGGAGCAUGCUGCCCAAUAUAUCAUGUUUAUGCAAUGAAGAAGCAUGGAUCCACAUCACUCAGAUCUUACCUUUAAAAUGGCAGUGAAGACCUUGAAAUUGUAAAUGAGGUUGGCUGGCUGACAUAUAUAAUAUGAAGAUUCUUUUUGUAUGGAAAGAAGGCACGUACAAGUAUUGUUGAAGCAUUUGUAGUAACUUCAGCUAUGCUUCAUGAGAAGUGAUCUUGAGAAGCAGCAGUAGUACAGCCACCAAAUACAAGAGGACACAUUUUCAUUGUGUUUAGAAGUCAUGAAUGUCAUAGAACAAAGCAUUGCUGUUCCCUGAAGACUUCUUCUAGCCUUUGCAUGCUUCAGGUUUUGCAGUGAAGAUGUUGGCUGUUCCUGGCUGAAAGGGGAGAGGAGAGGAAAGCAGCCUGACAUAGAUGGAAAGGGCAGAAGAAGUAUAUCUGCUUACAAAAGAGAAGUGUGGGAGAGCUGAGGAGUGGGAACCCAAGGUAGAGGAUCUUGUGGCAAGAAUCUGAAAAUGAAGCUUGUGUCUGUACAAGUGUUUGGAGUGAGACUCAAGUUUUUGUGCCUGAUUUCUAAGUUGUCCAGGUAUUGCAUUCAUUGUGUCAUUAUGCUUCAGCUAAUAAAUAUCUGCUGAAAAAUAAAUGAGAAUUAACUUGGUGG
This is a long non-coding RNA of Strigops habroptila (Kakapo), 1046 nucleotides long. RefSeq lists it as uncharacterized. The record is from RefSeq and is a predicted model, not a curated record. The transcript is spliced from 6 exons. NCBI's taxonomy places the organism in Eukaryota, Metazoa, Chordata, Aves, Psittaciformes, Psittacidae.